Macadamia integrifolia is the source of this 958-nucleotide long non-coding RNA. RefSeq lists it as uncharacterized. The transcript has 3 exons. NCBI's taxonomy places the organism in Eukaryota, Viridiplantae, Streptophyta, Magnoliopsida, Proteales, Proteaceae. The record is from RefSeq and is a predicted model, not a curated record.
AAGUGAUCAAAUGCCAAAUGAGAAUUGUAUUCCCUGUACGGCUGCGUAGCGUACGCUAGCGCCGCCCUGUGCAUUGUUUCUCAUAUUAUUUUUGGGAAUUCAUUUUUUGAUUAUUUUUGAUGGCUUGAACUCUACGCGGGAGCAACAUAGUAUUGUGGCUUGGUGAAUUGAGACAUAGCAGUACAAUGAGUUCACGAGGGGCCAAUGUGUUACUUUCGAGAGCCAGCAGAAUCAAGCAGAAGCUUCAGUCUGCACUGGAAACCAGUGUUCUGGAAAUUGAAGAUGUUUCUCAUAAGCAUGCAAGCCAUGCGGCCGUCAAGGGAAAUGCGAAUGAGACCCAUUAUAAUGUGAAGAUCGUUUCAGCCAAAUUUGAUGGGCAAAGCCUGGUGAAACGCCAUCGAAUGGUAUAUGAUCUCUUGGCUGAAGAGCUUCAGUCUGGGUUGCAUGCCCUGUCUAUAGUGGCAAAAACUCCACAAGAAGCUGGGACAAGUUAAAGGUAUAAGAAGGAAACAUGGCUUCAACUCGACUAAAGAAGCUGUGAUGUUUACAAUAAUGGAAGGGAGUAAAUAGGCUUGGGUUAUGGAGAUCCAGAAUAUACUGGUUUUGUUGAAUACAUGGAUGAGUGUAAUAGAAUCUAUUUUGGUCAGUUGUAUCUCGAAAAUUCACUGGGAUAUUAUUAUUCUUACUUCAGACAGUUAGGGUUUGAAAAAUUGGAAGCUAAGUCUUACAAGUAAGAUUAAUCACCUAAUGUCCCUAUUGACUUCAGUUUCAGUUUCAGACAUAACAAAAUAAGCGACGGUGCCUGCAAGUGAGCUCAAUUACUUUCUAUUUCUGCUAUUACUCUAUAUUUCCUUUGGUUACAUUGUAAUAGAUGUGUGUUUCAAACAUGUACUCCUGCAUCCUCUUAGAUUCUGAACUUAAUCUAUGAAUGGUCAGCUGAAACUGUCUUUUAACUUAA